AAUGAUGACCUAGUAACAUACACCUGCCAGCAGAAAAAGAGAACUAAUUCAGUAUGGCAAAAGGACUCAAAUGACACUAUCAUUUUUGGCAGAGAUGAACAUCUACAGUGAAUAUACACACGUAGGGCUAGGAAGUAGGAAGUACCUAUGUAUGUACACAUAAAAUAGCAACAUCUACCAUGGAAGUAUACUUUCAUAGAAUUAACCAUACUUAUUAAAGGCACAAUGUGCACGAAGGUGCAAAGAGGUCUUGGGGCCUAGGUGCAAGGCACAGGUAUUUACUUGAAUUACGUGAAGCGCAAAAUAUAUAUAUAUCAAUUUUGUGUCAAUACCAUUUCAUAUUUAACACUCAAAUAGACAAUCAACAACAUUUUUGCAAUAUAAAUAAAGUAAAACUAAACUAUUAUAGAUAUUAAUGUCUUAAAAACAAUACUAUAUUUCAAAUUCUAACUAGUAAAUAA
This 461-nucleotide unclassified non-coding RNA is filed under the name Hevea brasiliensis (rubber tree). Lineage: Eukaryota; Viridiplantae; Streptophyta; Magnoliopsida; Malpighiales; Euphorbiaceae. The record is from RNAcentral.